GGGGAUUUAGCUCAGUGGAAGAGCACUUGCCUGGCAAGUGCAAGACCCUGAGUUCAGUCCUCA
This 63-nucleotide transfer RNA is filed under the name Dipodomys ordii (Ord's kangaroo rat). It matches the Rfam family "tRNA". From Rfam's summary of the family: Transfer RNA (tRNA) molecules are approximately 80 nucleotides in length. Their secondary structure includes four short double-helical elements and three loops (D, anti-codon, and T loops). The record is from Rfam by way of RNAcentral. Lineage: Eukaryota; Metazoa; Chordata; Mammalia; Rodentia; Heteromyidae.